CGCGGGAAUCAGAACAAAGGAAGACGAAGCAGAAGAGAAAUGGCAACGACCAGCAAGAGAAGGAAAUAUGCGUGCAGCACCGAUCACGCCCAGUAUUUUGGGUCAUGUUGCCAAAGAGGGACCCAAGGGUUGUAUUUAUGCCGAGAAAAAGAUGGCUAUGCUGUUAGCUACAAGCAACAUCCCAUUCACGUUUGCGGAUGUUUUCAACACGUCCAUGAAGGAUAUGUUCCCGGAUUCGGAGAUCGCUGGCCAGUACGCAAAUGGCAGAACAAUGGCACUGGAAUACUGAACGGUGCCAUCAUACAUGCCAACCCUCCCGAAUUUUCCGAGAGAAUCCCGAAUUUCGGUGCCCUUCCUGAAAGCCACCAUUCUCCAGAAUUUCUCCUAAUUUCACCCGGACAACAAAAGUGCUAAACCAUCCUUAACUGGGCUUCCGUUGCCGGGCGGACAAUAAUAACGGUGACACCUUGAAGUCAAGGCGGGAAUCAGAACAAAGGAAGACGAAGCAGAAGAGAAAUGGCAACGACCAGCAAGAGAAGGAAAUAUGCGUGCAGCACGGAUCACGACCCAGUAUUUUGGGGUCAUGUUGCUGAAGGUAGACCCAAGGAUGGUGUUUAUGCCGAGACAAAGAUGGCUAUGCUGUUAGCUACAAGCUACAUGUCCCUGAAGGACAUGUUCCCGGAUUGGGAGAUCGCUCGCCAGUAGGCAAAUGGCAGAACAAAGGCUCAAAUAGUGAAAGGUGCCAUUGCCCAGAAUUGGACUGUGCCUAAACCAACCCAUUGGUCUGAUGUGUGAUGAAAGCACAAACAGAAACUCAGAUAAAGAGUUUGUGAUAUUGGCCAGGGUUUUCUCUCCGAAAACUCAGAAGGGGGUGACGAGGUCCAGCUGGCCACAGGAUGUGGCAUUAGGGCUCUAGGCCAGCCUGUUGAUCACAUCCUCAGCAGCAUUUAUGCUCUUUGACGUCAGUGCCAAACAUGCUGAAAUCUUCAAAGAGUUUGUGCAGUUCAGACUCAGAGACUGAAGAUACUCCAAUACUGUGCAACCAGGUGGCCCAGCUUGCUGACUUGUUUUGGCAUAAACCGGGUGCUCAACCAGUGGGAUGCACAGCAGGCCAGUAUGAGGAUGUGGAGAAGCCUGACAAGGUGAAGAUGCUGGCAGAGCAUUUAACCAGCAAGAAGACAAAGUUCUUCUUCCUCUUCCAGGUUCUGAAGCCACUGGCAGAGUUCAAGGUUAUUUCAGGCUGAAGGAGUGAUGGUCCAUAGGCUACACAAGGAGAUGACCAGCCUGGUGAGAAGAUUCAUGGGAAGAUUUUUCCCUGCCAGCCUUAUUGCUGACGUCCCACUGAAGGACAUGAAGUUCAUGGAUGCCAGCCUACAGUUGCCAGACAAAGAACAGUUUCUUGGAGUAGCUGCACAAAGCCUCUGGGGGGACAAUAUGGAUGAACUUUCCUCUUCUGUCCCAAUGAUGAUCCAGGCAGUGAGAGACUUCUUUGUAGCUGUGACCGCAAAGAUGAUGACCGCAUUCCCCCUCGACAACAUCAUCCUCCACAGCCUGACCGUGUUGGAUCCAGAGUCACGGCAUCAAUUUUCUCCAAACUCAGUUAUAGAGCUAGGGAAAAGUCUGCCGCAGCUGCGGUUGGACCUGGAUAGCCUUAUGGAAGAAUUAGUGGAGUACCAUGUGCUUGUUGUAUAGGAUGUUUCUGUUGAACCAUCACUACCAUCUGUUGCACAGAGCGGGUUCCCCAGUGAAUACUUUCACUCCUUCAUGAACUCAGUGGAAAUGAUCACUGUAGAAUUAACCUCGCCUGUGGAUGCUGUUAUGGCCUGCAAGCCAGAUGAGAAGAUGGUGUUGAACAAAGGCAGCUAUGACUCCACCAGCUCCAGGUUCUCUAACCCAAGUUACUCUGAGCUUUGUAGCCUCCUCCUAUUUCCUCACUCACUGCUGGGAAUCUGAAGCCCUGUGCGGCUGACACGCCUUAUGGCCCUGUUGGUACUCGGGGUGAAGGAAAAAGCACAGAACAGGAACAACUGGUACACGUGUUAUUGUUAGCUGUGCUCUUUUUAUUCCAGCUGGUGAGGGAUCCACAGCCUGUAGCAGCCUCACACACCUUUUAUCACCGUUUCCUCCUCAUGUCCUCAAAGGGCCUGUCUGCACACUGUUAUAUCAUGAGUAAUAGUUGAAAAGAAAUCUGUAUACAUAAAAUAUGUGCAUGCACACACACACAACUAAAUAUGUAAUAUUUAGAGUCACUUUUUUAAUUUAGAUAAGGUAGUUUUUUUAGCCUUAGAUACAAACAGUGAAGGGCAGAAAGUGAGACCAUUUUCAAUCACUAAGACAAGAAUUCAAAUGAACACUUAUUUGUUUCUACUUUUGCAAGCUAUAAAAUUAUAGCUCCUCUGAUGAGACUCCUCUCUCCUGUCCCCAGGACAGUAAAACUCUUCAUGAGUGAAGACGACAUUGACUUUAGAGCUGGAAUAUAAAGUAGACCCCAAUAUUUCGCUUCACAUAAACAUCGUCAUUUAUUCCCUCUUACUGUGGCUGUUUUUCUUCCACCACGAUAAAAUCACACUUCAUGCAGAGCUCUCUCUCUGAGGAAGAGUUUCCCAUCUAAAAAUCUGUUUUCUGCAUUAUUCUCUUGCUUAUUACCCACCAGUCUAACGUUGUUUACAGCACUGUCGGACGUUAUUACUGUUCAAUACUGAGCAAACUUCUUAAAAUGAUGCAAAAUUGCAUACUGCUUAGCUGUACUUUGCUCUGCUUCAAUUCAGCAGCAUCAGGUAAUGUUCGCUUGUUGAUUCAUGGUUUUCUCCAGUUUUUGUUCUACUGCAGAAUAUUUUUAAGGUUGUUUGUUUAAAAAAAAAAAAAAAAAAAAAAAAACCCAGGGCAGGAAAAUCUCCUUCAUGUUUUUGUGUUUUAUCCCCAGUUGACACAAAGACAUCUGCUGUGAUGUUUACACCUUUGAUAAAGUCUUGCAAGUGUCAGCUUUCUUUUUUAUAAAUAUAUAUAAAUUUAAAAAAACCUGGAGAAAUACUUAUGGGACUAUACCCCGAGCCAACUGGUCCUGAAAAAAAUACAUUAAAAAAACACACAAGUACUUCCAACAAACAUUGCUGCCCAGGACAAUGAAACUGACGGUGUAAUAACUUCAUGCCUCAUCCCACACAUACCCGGAUCUCCCACCGGAGGACACGGUGGUCGGCCUCCCCAGGUGGCGGCUGGCGGGUCCACUUUUCAUGGUACCACUGGUACCUGCAGACAUGAGAAAAACCAGUGAGCAAACAUGUAACUAUCACAUCAAUGUGAAUCUGAUGGGUGUGAUUUUUCCAGACUGAAGGAAGUGCAAACAGAAUGUUACAGAACUGUUAUACAGCAUGAGGGUCAUCAAUUCAAAUUACUGUCCUUUAUUUGGCAUAAUUACUGUCUAACUGACAGAAGUUACAGGAAGAAGUUAAAUGAAGCUGACGAAAACCUUUUUGUGCUGAAUACAUACUUGAAAGCUCCACAUUCAAGAACAAUCUGAGCACACUGUCAUCAGUUAUCAUCAGUGGGUAACUUUAGUUAUGUAUGAAAUAGAGCUGGGUCUCAUCACUGAUUUCUACAAUCGAUUCGAUUGAAUUUGUGAAAUUUAGCCUCAGUCAGUCAGAAAUAUUAUAAUUCUGAUCAUUUAUCAGUUCUGACACUUGUGAGACUUCAUCAGAUGUGUAAACAUCACAGCCGAUGUGUCAAAGUAACUGAGGAUAAAAGAAACAUGAAGGAGAUUUACCUUAAAAUAUUUUGCAGUAGAACAAAAACCAAAGAAAACCAUGACUCAGCAGGUGAACAUUACCUGAUGCUGCUGAUGUGAAGCAGAGCAAAGUUACAGGUUUUAUUAGAGACACAGCUGAGCAUUUUGCAAUGUGCCAUCAUUUUAAAAAGAUUAAAUUUCUUUGGUGUUGAACAGCACAAAUGAGGCUUUCUUGUCAAGGGUCAUUUUGAAGAAAAAAAAACAACGGCCUGUACACAACAGUAGACUGGUACAUAAUUAGCAAGCGAAUAAUGCAGAAAACAGAGAUUUGAGAUGGGAAACUGUUCUCUGAGUCCACUGAGAGAGAGAGAGAGAGCUGUGCAGGAAGUGUGAGUUUAUUGUGGUGGAAGCAAAACAGCAAAGGUAAGAAGGAAUUAAUGAUGAUAUUUAUCAAAUGUGAAGAGGUCAGAGUGAUGAAACCUAUCAAGAGCCUCUAGAAUCAUAUUUCCACAUUAUUUCCAGUGUGAGUUUCAAACAGAAGUGGCAGUCUUUUUAAUUUUUGAUCCUCUGCAUUUUAUAACUUACCGGGCGACCGGGUCAUUCUUUUUUAGUGGUGGCGGUAUGACCGCCGGCCUAAUGACUGAAAUGAAAAUUCAUGUGAGAGAUUAUCUAAAGUUUGUAGAGAGAAAAAUCUUUAUAUUGGUGUUGUGGUUUAUUGUUGACUUACACGACAUCCCAUUCGUCGGGCCUGGAGUCUGCUUCCCCCACAAAGAAAGAAAAAAUAGACACAACUUCUUCAACAGUUAUUAACAGAAGAAAAUGUGAAGGCUAAUUUCAAUAAACUACUGAAUUCAAAUCUGUUUUAUUAUUAUCAUAUAGCUAUAAUAUAGCACCAAAUCACAACAACAGUCCCCUUGUUUAAAUAAGUAUAUAUAGCUGUACAUUUGCAUAUGGUUUUAUGUGUUACUGGGGUAAUAAAAGCAAACAUGUAACAAAUUGUAAGGAAGAGGUUAUGAUGGAUAGGGCCUAAACUGGAAGAAAAAGUGUUAUUAAAUAUUGAAAAGGGGGCGGGAUUAAAUAUGAUUAUGCUUCUUCCUACUCCUUUUUGAACUUUGAAGUUGUUUAUAAUUAUUAUUUUGUUUUCCUUGUAUUUUGUAUUUUUGUCUCUUUUCUUUGUUGUUGUUUUACUAUUUUAGCAUGUUCAAAGUAAAUAUACAAUACCAGCUGUACACUGUCUAUAAUAAAGACAGUGAACAGUUAAUAGUUAGUAUUCCCAUGUACUCAUAUUAUAUUAUGAUUAUAUUAAUAUAGAACAAGGUUCUGUAAACGUGUAACUAAACUUAUCUGGUAGAAACUGUGAGUACAUUUCAGAGCAUCUGAAACAUCUUCACUUAAAUAAAGAUGUUGAAUCAGUACUUCACAGCACUUUAAAUAUCAAGCAUUUUUAAAUACUUCUUAAGUACAAGUAUCUGUACUUGUUCAUAAGUACAAAGUGUCAGUAUUUUGCCGCCUCUGUUGACAGACAGUGUUAAUCUCUCUGUUUUGUGUCACAUGUCAGAUCAAUGUGGGGAUAUUUCAGUUUUUCUGACACAGAACAUAAAAGUGUUUAUCUGCUCGGCUCCACUGAUCUGAAAAUGGGUUCGUUAAACACUUUUGUUCUUUCAAACAGUUUCAAAAAUGCCUCCAAAGAGAAAUGUACAGAACCUUUUGGUUUCCAUUUCCUCGUCUCUUCUAAAAGACAAAUGACAGACAAGUGAAGUCAAAUGAAAUGGGUUUCAUUCUUUCCUCUGACUUUUCUCUCUUAAAGACAAACAGCUGAUGUGACAGUACUCACAUCAUUAUUGAAUGUUUUCAGUCCAUAAAUGCAAUGAUCAGAUUGUCAGUGUUGCACCUGUUCCCACUUGUAACAGGUGUAACACUUGUACCACAGCUGUUCAUUUUGCUGAUGUUUUGAUUCAAACUUGAUCUUUAUUUAAAGUGAAAACAGAGUUUCUGAUGAAUUGUGCUGUAACAACUGUUGUUGUGCAAGACGCUGCAGAAACCCUGAAAAGCACCACAAUAAACCAACUCUGCCAACCACAAGUGUAAUAUGUGUAGUAUGUAACACACACAGAGCAACCCUCUGAUGUCUUUUCUGAAGCUGCUGUGUGUAUUAACCAGUUUGCAUUUUCAAUAUUCAUGUGGAACUUGUUAAUCUGCAAAUGUGCAUUUGUUUAAUUUGUCUACAAUAAAAAGUUGAACCUG
Molecule: long non-coding RNA, 5968 nt
Organism: Oreochromis aureus
Lineage: Eukaryota; Metazoa; Chordata; Actinopteri; Cichliformes; Cichlidae
Source: Ensembl